This 49-nucleotide ribosomal RNA is filed under the name Paenibacillus odorifer. RNAcentral describes it as "partial 23S ribosomal RNA". RNAcentral also lists the same sequence under 1 other name. Lineage: Bacteria; Bacillati; Bacillota; Bacilli; Caryophanales; Paenibacillaceae. The record is from RNAcentral.
GUAAUGCAUGGAGCUGACCAAUACUAAUCGGUCGAGGGCUUAUCCUAUA